AAGUCGUAACAAGGUUUCCGUAGGUGAACCUGCGGAAGGAUCAUUAUCCAAACGUUAAAACCUCCCCCGAACAUUCAUCCUGCUCUUCUAACCCGCGAAGCUUGCCAUCCCUGGUACAUAAUAUGUAGUUUGGAUUCAGAGACAGCAGUCAGUGUCUGAAAGUGUCAUUGAUUGUGCAAGGAUAACGCUGGACGAUGCUUGUAGACCGCAUCUCGCGGGCAGGAGCUAGGCCAAAGGGUCCCCAUGCCCCCUUACCAACCCACAGCAUAAUGUAAAGCUCUUUGUAAUACAUUGGGUAAAAAAACCGAGCAACUGUGAACAAUGC
This 325-nucleotide unclassified non-coding RNA is filed under the name fungal sp. Its description in RNAcentral is "partial internal transcribed spacer region". The stretch from base 1 to 46 matches the Rfam family "Eukaryotic small subunit ribosomal RNA", at positions 1786 to 1831 of the family's 1831-position model. The record is from RNAcentral. Lineage: Eukaryota; Fungi.